Molecule: ribosomal RNA, 424 nt
Filed under: uncultured prokaryote
Description: bacterial SSU rRNA
Rfam family: Bacterial small subunit ribosomal RNA
Source: RNAcentral
UGGGGAAUAUUGCACAAUGGGGGAAACCCUGAUGCAGCGACGCCGCGUGAGCGAUGAAGGUCUUCGGAUCGUAAAGCUCUGUCCUUAGGGAAGAAUAUUGACGGUACCUAAGGAGGAAGCCCCGGCUAACUACGUGCCAGCAGCCGCGGUAAUACGUAGGGGGCGAGCGUUGUCCGGAAUCACUGGGCGUAAAGGGAGCGUAGGCGGCUUUGUAAGUCAGGUGUUAAAGGCAUUGGCUCAACCAAUGUAAGCACUUGAAACUACAAGGCUUGAGUACAGGAGAGGAGAGUGGAAUUCCUAGUGUAGCGGUGAAAUGCGUAGAUAUUAGGAGGAACACCAGUGGCGAAGGCGACUCUCUGGACUGUUACUGACGCUGAGGCUCGAAAGCGUGGGGAGCAAACAGGAUUAGAUACCCCCGUAGUCC